AUUGAACGCUGGCGGCAUGCUUUACACAUGCAAGUCGAACGGCAGCACGGGUGCUUGCACCUGGUGGCGAGUGGCGGACGGGUGAGGUAAUGCAUCGGAACGUGUCCUGAAGUGGGGGAUAACGCAUCGAAAGAUGUGCUAAUACCGCAUAUUCUCUGAGGAGGAAAGUAGGGGAUCGAAAGACCUUAUGCUUUUGGAGCGGCCGAUGUCUGAUUAGCUAGUUGGUGGGGUAAUGGCUUACCAAGGCGACGAUCAGUAGUUGGUCUGAGAGGACGGCCAGCCACACUGGGACUGAGACACGGCCCAGACUCCUACGGGAGGCAGCAGUGGGGAAUUUUGGACAAUGGGCGCAAGCCUGAUCCAGCAAUGCCGCGUGAGUGAAGAAGGCCU
Molecule: ribosomal RNA, 390 nt
Filed under: uncultured bacterium
Lineage: Bacteria
Description: bacterial SSU rRNA
Rfam family: Bacterial small subunit ribosomal RNA
Source: RNAcentral